RNAcentral lists this transfer RNA (73 nucleotides) under Echinostoma caproni. It matches the Rfam family "tRNA". From Rfam's summary of the family: Transfer RNA (tRNA) molecules are approximately 80 nucleotides in length. Their secondary structure includes four short double-helical elements and three loops (D, anti-codon, and T loops). Further hydrogen bonds mediate the characteristic L-shaped molecular structure. tRNAs have two regions of fundamental functional importance: the anti-codon, which is responsible for specific mRNA codon recognition, and the 3' end, to which the tRNAs corresponding amino acid is attached (by aminoacyl-tRNA synthetases). tRNAs cope with the degeneracy of the genetic code in two manners: having more than one tRNA (with a specific anti-codon) for a particular amino acid; and 'wobble' base-pairing, i.e. permitting non-standard base-pairing at the 3rd anti-codon position. Lineage: Eukaryota; Metazoa; Platyhelminthes; Trematoda; Plagiorchiida; Echinostomatidae. The record is from Rfam by way of RNAcentral.
GGCCCUGUGGCCUAAUGGAUGAGGCGUCUGACUUCGGAUCAGAAGAUUGCAGUUUCGAGUCCUGCCAGGGUCU